RNAcentral lists this transfer RNA (72 nucleotides) under Candidatus Dadabacteria bacterium. RNAcentral describes it as "tRNA-OTHER". It matches the Rfam family "tRNA". Rfam says of the family: Transfer RNA (tRNA) molecules are approximately 80 nucleotides in length. Their secondary structure includes four short double-helical elements and three loops (D, anti-codon, and T loops). Further hydrogen bonds mediate the characteristic L-shaped molecular structure. tRNAs have two regions of fundamental functional importance: the anti-codon, which is responsible for specific mRNA codon recognition, and the 3' end, to which the tRNAs corresponding amino acid is attached (by aminoacyl-tRNA synthetases). tRNAs cope with the degeneracy of the genetic code in two manners: having more than one tRNA (with a specific anti-codon) for a particular amino acid; and 'wobble' base-pairing, i.e. permitting non-standard base-pairing at the 3rd anti-codon position. The record is from RNAcentral. Lineage: Bacteria; Pseudomonadati; Thermodesulfobacteriota; Candidatus Dadabacteria. RNAcentral also lists the same sequence under 1 other name.
CCCACGAUAGCUCAGCCUNNUAUCAGGCAUACAGAAACCGGGUUGUCGAAGGUUCAAUUCCUUCUCGUGGGA